AUUGAACGCCGGCGGUGUGCUUUACACAUGCAAGUCGAACGGUAGAGGGGGCAACCCCUCGAGAGUGGCGAACGGGUGAGUAAUAUAUCGGAACGUGCCCAGUCGUGGGGGAUAACGUAGCGAAAGUUACGCUAAUACCGCAUACGAUCUAAGGAUGAAGGCGGGGGAUCGCAAGACCUCGCGCGAUUGGAGCGGCCGAUAUCAGAUUAGGUAGUUGGUGGGGUAAAGGCUCACCAAGCCAACGAUCUGUAGCUGGUCUGAGAGGACGACCAGCCACACUGGAACUGAGACACGGUCCAGACUCCUACGGGAGGCAGCAGUGGGGAAUUUUGGACAAUGGACGCAAGUCUGAUCCAGCCAUUCCGCGUACAGGAUGAAGGCCCUCGGGUUGUAAACUGCUUUUGUACGGAACGAAAAGGUCUCUCUUAAUACGGGGGACUCAUGACGGUACCGUAAGAAUAAGCACCGGCUAACUACGUGCCAGCCGCCGCAGUAA
RNAcentral lists this ribosomal RNA (496 nucleotides) under uncultured bacterium. RNAcentral's name for it is "partial 16S ribosomal RNA". It matches the Rfam family "Bacterial small subunit ribosomal RNA", at positions 30 to 523 of the family's 1533-position model. The record is from RNAcentral.